CGUGCCAGGCACGACCCGCUUAGAAUUUGGGCCCGGGGGGCCUGGGCCGGGCCGGCCCGGCACGGCCCGUUGCCCAACUCUACAAACUGCAUUUCCAAUAUUUUGUAGAAAGAGAAAAUAAUGCCAGGAACAUCAUCCCUUCAUUUCAUCAAAUAUACCCAAAAAUUUUGAGAAAAAACAACAACAAAUAAUUGACAUAAUGAUAACCAAAACAAGAGAAAAUAGGAGCAUGUCCCCAAACUACAGAAUGAACAAGCUGAAAAAUAGAAAAGGCUUGUUACUUGGAGGAUAACUUGUCUUACAACGUUUAGAAGAUCAACAUGUUUCACAAGAUAACAAAACUCCUUUAUUCAACUGAACUGACCAGGAAAAAUUAAACAAAGAGACAAAGGAAAUCUGUCCAAGUCUAUGAUGCCAAAGUUGAACAUGGCUUGUGACAUUAUUGAUAUCAUCCAAACAUGUUGUAGGGGUUCCAUCAAUAACAAGAAGUAAAGACGAUUAGCUUCAUGGACACCACCAAUCAUCUUCUUCAUUUCCAGGUCCUGGAAAACACAAUGGGAUGAUGAUGGGUGGUUCUAUAUACACCCCCCCUAUUGCUCAGGACACCCCCCAAAAAUUAAAAAAAA
Molecule: long non-coding RNA, 626 nt
Filed under: Phoenix dactylifera (date palm)
Lineage: Eukaryota; Viridiplantae; Streptophyta; Magnoliopsida; Arecales; Arecaceae
Description: long non-coding RNA (PDAC_LNC019125)
Source: RNAcentral